This 24-nucleotide transfer RNA is filed under the name Plestiodon sp. 2 CPV-2018. Its description in RNAcentral is "partial tRNA-Met". Lineage: Eukaryota; Metazoa; Chordata; Lepidosauria; Squamata; Scincidae. The record is from RNAcentral.
GUAAAGUCAGCUAAUUAAGCUCUG